GAUGAACGCUGGCGGCGUGCCUAAUACAUGCAAGUCGAGCGAACGGACGAGAAGCUUGCUUCUCUGAUGUUAGCGGCGGGCGGGAGAGUAACACGUGGAUAACCUACCUAUCAUACUGGGAACACUUCGGGAAACCGGAGCUAAUCGCGGAUAAUAUUUUGCACCGCAUGGGUGAAAAGUGAAAGACGGUGUUGCUGUCACGUAUAGCUGGAUCCGCGCUGCAUUAGCUGGUUGGUCAGGUAAUGGCUUUCCACGGCGAGGAUGCAUAGCCGACGGGAGAGGCGGAUCGGCGACCCGGGAACGGAGACACGGACCAGACGCCUACGGGAGGCAGCAGUAGGGAAUCUUCCGCAGUGGGCGAAAGCCUGACGGAGCAACGCGACGUGAGUGAUGAAGGCCUUCGGAUCGUAAAGCUCUGUUACUAGUGAAGAACAGAUGUGUAAGUAACUGUGCACAGCGUGACGGUACCGAAUCAGAAAGCAACGGCUAACUACGUG
RNAcentral lists this ribosomal RNA (497 nucleotides) under uncultured bacterium. RNAcentral's name for it is "partial 16S ribosomal RNA". It matches the Rfam family "Bacterial small subunit ribosomal RNA", at positions 28 to 507 of the family's 1533-position model. The record is from RNAcentral.